UUCAUUUUGCCUGCAAUGUUGUGUGUAGAGUUAAGUCCAUUUCUAGCACACACGUCAAAAGCCCCGUGUUUGUUAGGGGGGGGUUAACCCAUUCUCUCUUGCCCAGAGAUAGCCUCGAAUCACCCCCCUGUCCUCGGGCGCCGCUCACCGGGACCUCUGGGCAAUGAAUUGAAAGCCGGCAGCUCACUCUGCUCCGGGCUGUUGGGAGCCGGAGCUGGGAAAGCGACUUAACCUCGUUCAGCAUCGCCAAUCCUCCCCCACCCCAGCAGCAGUGACAGACACAGAGAAAGAAAGAGGAGGAGAGAAAGAGCAAGAGCAAACUAAAGCACCAGAGGAGACUGAAAGAAGAUGCUGGGGGCUGAUGAGGUUGUGCACCGUGUAUGGGGCAAGGAGGAGUGAGAGGGGAGGGGGUGAAGGCAGAGGGGAGCCACUGCUACCGUAGCAGGAGGAGGAGGAGGAGGAGGUGGAGAACCGUUUGUGGGAACGUGCAGCUCAAUGGCCGAGACUUGGUUUGUCAGAGGCGGCCGCUCUGGGCUGUCAUGUCUCAAGAAGGUGGAGGAAGGGGGUUUCUGGGCUGAGGUUCUGGUAGAGGGGGGCAAGUGGAGACCUGGCUUUACCCUGAGGCGUUAAAGUUGAGAAUUCAAGUGGAGCAAGCUCUCUCUCCCCCCCCCCCCCCCCCCCAAUAAGUUUCCCAUUCCAGAGAGAGAGAGAGAGAGAGGCUGUUUGCCUGACUUAAGUCUGAUCUUGAAGGUGAGGGGAGGGGGUAUAGAGAGAGGGGAAAAAAAAACAAACAAACUUUGUGAUAACCCACACGGUGGAGGAGAGUGCUGGCGAUGAGAUCGGAGUCUCCUCUCCCCCCGAGUGGAGCUGAGGCCGGAAAAGUGGCGGCGGAGCGCAAUGGUUACGUGAGGGGCUGUGUGAGCGCUCUGUCCCGGGAUCAGGGCUACCCAGCGUGGGCUCGCCUCCUGCCAUCCGCCGCUUGCCUGGGCUCCCUCUCCCUGCUGCUGGCCGCCUUCCUGAGGUGGGGACACGGGGAGGAGAGCCCCUCAGCUCCUCUGUCCCCCUCCUCCUCGCCCUCUCCCCCCUCCUCCUCCUCUCUCUCUCCUCCCUCCGGCUUGCUGACCCUCCUGCACUGCGUGUUGCCCCUGUUCAGCCUCCUCAGCGCUUUCUUCUGGCUCGGCUUGUACCUGAUCCGCUGCGGCCGGGGCGAGUUAGCCCCGCGGUUACUAGCCGCCUGCUGCCUGGGCGAGACACUGCUGCAAGCCGCCUCGCUGCUGGGGGGGGAGGAGGAGGGGGACCAGCUGCUGUCGGCCCCCGCCAGCGCCGUGCUCCUGGGCUGCCUGGCCGCUGCCACCCUGCUGCUGCUCCGGGUCGGCCAGGGGGUCGGCACCGUCAUCUUCACCAGCCUCCUGAGGACCGUCUCCCUGCUCUCCCUGGACGGGGUCCGCGCCAGCUGGAGACCCUUCCUCGCUUACUUCAUGGGCAUCCUCGGCGUGCUGCUGGCCAGAUACGCGGUGCACAUCCUCCCCGGAACCCCGCCUGGGACCCAGGAGAAGAUCCCAGUGAUCAAGAGGAGAAGGAGAUCUAGUUCAGUCAUCGCCGCCGAGAUUUCCAACACUCAACUGGGUUCCAAAGCCCCCAGGAGAACAUCCCUCCCGUGCAUUCAGAGGGAACAGAUCCUGUCACACUCUGAGUGGGAUCAUAAGCGUGGCUACAGAGGAUCACAGUCUACAGGGACCAGUGUCACUGUCGAUAUUGCUGUGAUGGGUGAGGCCCAUGGAUUAAUUACAGACCUUCUGGCUGAUCCGUCUCUGCCUCCCAAUGUCAGUACCUCCUUGAGGGCUGUCAGCAAUCUCCUCAGCACACAACUGACCUUCCAGCCCGUCCACAAGCCCAGAAUAAACCCAUUAGUAUCAUUCAGCGAGUCCUAUGCUGGUUCUGACUCUGAAGAAUGCCCAGGAGAGAAACUCGCAAUCCCAAAGCGACUGAGGAGAAGUCUGCCUCCAGGACUAUUGAGAAGGAUUUCAUCCACAUGGACAACAACAACGUCUGCCACCGGCCUGCCCACCAUGGAGCCUGGACCCGUCAGGAGAGACCGCAGCGGAAGCGUAAAGCCAUCUCACGAAGCCCCAUCAGGCAGUUCUUUUAAUACAGAGUCUUGGAACAGCAGUUGCUCUCCCUCAGUUUUGAUGACCAUUGCCAAAAGCAGAUCAUUCUCAGCCUCCUACGCGGUUGCCACAAAUAAUCAUGUGAAUGCUAAAAGGCAGUUGCGGCAAGGUUACUCUUCAAACAUCACACCUCUCAACUCUCCAUGCCAUUCACCGAUCCAGGGGACUCCGGCCGGUAGUCCCACGAGCAAAACCUCAGCUGUUGAAUUCCCAGACACAGCAGAUAUCCUGACUAAGCCAGGCCGUAAUCCACAUAAGCCCUUAACGUACACUCAGAGCGCACCAGAUGUCACAGGGCAAUACCGGAGUAGCUGCUUGGUGUGCAGUAGCUGUGGCCGACCCUUCAGCAAGCUGACGCACUCAGACAGCAUAGCGGAUCGAGUUGAUGCAACAGCCCAUUCACUAAACAGGACUGAGGACCCUGCACAAGCAACAUCUGACUACGACAGCACCCACGAGACAAACAAUAGUGACAGCAGUGACAUCACACAGAAUGAUGACGAGCAGGAGUCUUGUUCAAAAGGAUUGGUUCAAUCCCUCAAAAGUUCCGACUGCAGAAGCUACAGGCCCGAUAGCCUUAUGUUGCACCAUUUGAUUCCGGCUGAGGAUAAACCAAUUCUUGCCCCGGAACCUCUGCUAUUAGAAGGCCUGGAGCCAAUAUUUACACAAUUAAGCAACUGGAAUUUUCCCAUCUUUGAUCUUGUCGAGAUGACGGGCUCCAAGUGUGGCCGAAUCCUCAGCCAGGUGGCGUUCAGACUGUUUGAAGACACUGGACUUUUUGAGAUAUUUAAAAUCCCAUUAAAGGAAUUCAUGAACUACUUCCAUGCAUUAGAAAAUGGAUACAGAGACAUCCCCUAUCAUAAUCGCAUACAUGCCACUGAUGUGUUACAUGCAGUCUGGUACCUCACCACGCAGCCAGUCCCAGGCCUGCAGACUACGAUGAAUGAUCAUGGCUCAAUGAGUGAUUCAGAUUCAGACAGCGGGUUCACACAUGGACACAUGGGAUAUGCCAUAUCAAAAACGUACAGUGUGACAGAGAACAGAUAUGGCUGCGUUAUUGCCAAUGUUCCUGCCUUGGAGUUAAUGGCCCUCUAUGUUGCUGCGGCCAUGCAUGAUUAUGACCACCCAGGAAGAACCAAUGCCUUUCUGGUGGCAACCAGUGCACCACAGGCUGUUCUAUAUAAUGACCGCUCAGUAUUGGAGAACCACCACGCUGCUUCAGCGUGGAACCUUUUCAUGUCACAACAGGAUUACAACUUCUUGGUCAACUUGGACCACGUUGAAUUCAAGAGAUUCCGAUUUCUUGUGAUUGAAGCCAUACUAGCCACAGAUCUUAAGAAACAUUUCGACUUCCUCGCUGAGUUCAAUGCCAAGGUGAAUGAAGAGGUCGGACCAGGUAUUGACUGGGCAAAUGAAAACGAUCGCUUGCUGGUUUGUCAAAUGUGCAUUAAGCUCGCUGACAUCAAUGGGCCGGCCAAAUGUAAGGAGCUCCAUUUAAAAUGGACUGAAGGCAUCGUUAAUGAGUUCUACGAGCAGGGUGAUGAGGAGUCAAGCCUCGGGCUUCCCAUCAGCCCAUUUAUGGACCGUUCAGCUCCUCAGCUGGCCAAACUUCAGGAAUCCUUCAUUACACACAUUGUGGGGCCAUUGUGUAACUCCUAUAACUCAGCAGGGCUCAUACCAGGGAGAUGGGUGGAGGAUGAUGAUGAAGAUGAAGAGGAAGAGGACGAUGAUGAUGCUGAAACAACAGAGGAGGAAGGCACAGAAACGUUGGAAACAAGGCGAAUGGGAGAGGGAUGUAGGAAACGAAGAAAAGUCUUCUGCCAGAUUACGCAGCACCUGAUGGAAAACCAUGAAAUGUGGAAGAAGGUAAUUGAAGAGGAACAGAGGGAAGCAGAGCUCGAACAGCAAGACCAGUCCUCCCUGCAUCAAAGCUCAGAGACAAUCCAAGCAAUUACUGAGGAAGAGGAGGAGAAGAAUAAUGAAGAAUCAGAAGGGACGUCAGAGACGCAAAUUAGUUUGAAUCCAAAUACAACCAAUGAGACAUUAGGAGAUGAUAAAAAUGACUGAAUUGUGCAUCAAUGUUUUUUAUUCUGUUCCAGCACAAGACUUUGACACAAUACUGUAGAUGUUUAGGACAAUGUGCCUACAGCUGUGAUGGUGUAAAGUUGCUAUGAAGGAGAAGAACAGGACUAAAGAAACCUCACCAAGGAAGCUUCUGAAUUGCACCACUGGCUGAAUUAGACUUUGAACACUCAAUGGUUAUCCAGUAGGACUAUGGUGUACUUCUUCAUUGACAUAUCUUGUUUAACAACACACGCAUCUGUAAAAGGAAAACACACUGAUUUGUUGUCCGACCACAGUGGCCGUCAAAAUGAAGGAAGACGUACUUCGAAAGCAAAUACGUGGCAGAAAAUGCUGCGGUACUCAGUCUGUAGCUUUUGCUCUAUUUUGAGUGAAAGUUGAAAGCUUUAUCAGAGUUUAGGAUAUGGCCUGCCAAUAUCUUUUGUGUACAUAACCUUGUAGCUCACCAGCUUUGUAUAAGCAAUCUCUGUGUAGCUGUAGUACUUGUACAUUGCGAAAAUGGACAUGAACAAAUGUUUUAGAAACAGACUGGCAGACAUAUGGAGGGCCAUUUCACUUUAUAAAAGAGAUGAGACCUAUUUUCCCUAAUCAAUGAACACUGCCAGUUUCAGUUCACUGAGCUAACCACAGGUAUAUCUUCUAGCUUUGUUGUGUUUAGACUUCACAAUAUUAAAAUUCUUCCACCCCAAUAAAUUUAAUGCAUGUUUGGCUCCAAUGGUGUGUAACUGCUGUUCCGUUAUAAACUACUUGUUUUAAAGUUUAUUUCAAACUUAGCAAGCAAGUAAGUCAGGAAGAAGAAUGGAUUUAGAUCGAUAGAAUACUGUAGUAAGUAAGCUGCUGUUGAAUCAGUUCCAGUAUAAUAUUCCAUUUCAGUACAAACAGUAUUUCUUACAAUGAGCUCACAAGUUCCAACCUAUGUUUCCAAAAAAACUGUCGAGAAAUCUGUAUUUUUAUGCAUAGUCGAUUGACACAAGUUUUUAAGCUAAUAAAACAGCCCAAGCUAAAUUAAGUGCAUCUACCUUUUAACUGAAGGUCAGAGUAUUUGUAAGCCUGAAUCUAAUGAUUGACUAUUAUGGUUUAAUAUUGACUGUGGUUGCAGUCAGCUUACCACAGAUGCUGGGAAUAGCACUUUUAGCGUUAAUAAUGUUCAUCUUAUGUGGGUAUAUGAGUGCAUACUAAGAUGUGAAAAGACACUGGAAAGUACAGAAGAGAGUAUUUUAACUAUAGAACCU
Non-coding RNA from Chiloscyllium plagiosum (whitespotted bambooshark), 5482 nucleotides. The record is from RefSeq and is a predicted model, not a curated record. NCBI's taxonomy places the organism in Eukaryota, Metazoa, Chordata, Chondrichthyes, Orectolobiformes, Hemiscylliidae.